GCAAGUCGAGCGAGAAGGUUAUGAUAGAUUCUUCGGAUGAAUAAGUUACUGGAGAGCGGCGGACGGGUGAGUAACGCGUGGGUAACCUGCCCUAUGGAGGGGGAUAACUAAGAGAAAUUUUAGCUAAUACCGCAUAAGCACACAGGACCACAUGGUCUAGUGUGAAAAACUCCGGUGCCAUAGGAUGGACCCGCGUAAGAUUAGCUAGUUGGUAAGGUAAUGGCUUACCAAGGCGACGAUCUUUAGCCGACCUGAGAGGGUGAUC
RNAcentral lists this ribosomal RNA (265 nucleotides) under uncultured bacterium. RNAcentral describes it as "partial 16S ribosomal RNA". It matches the Rfam family "Bacterial small subunit ribosomal RNA", at positions 57 to 305 of the family's 1533-position model. The record is from RNAcentral.